Molecule: ribosomal RNA, 660 nt
Filed under: Leuconostoc sp. THK-O28
Lineage: Bacteria; Bacillati; Bacillota; Bacilli; Lactobacillales; Lactobacillaceae
Description: bacterial SSU rRNA
Rfam family: Bacterial small subunit ribosomal RNA
Source: RNAcentral
AGGUGCUUGCACCUUUCAAGUGAGUGGCGAACGGGUGAGUAACACGUGGACAACCUGCCUCAAGGCUGGGGAUAACAUUUGGAAACAGAUGCUAAUACCGAAUAAAACUUAGUGUCGCAUGACAAAAAGUUAAAAGGCGCUUCGGCGUCACCUAGAGAUGGAUCCGCGGUGCAUUAGUUAGUUGGUGGGGUAAAGGCCUACCAAGACAAUGAUGCAUAGCCGAGUUGAGAGACUGAUCGGCCACAUUGGGACUGAGACACGGCCCAAACUCCUACGGGAGGCUGCAGUAGGGAAUCUUCCACAAUGGGCGAAAGCCUGAUGGAGCAACGCCGCGUGUGUGAUGAAGGCUUUCGGGUCGUAAAGCACUGUUGUAUGGGAAGAACAGCUAGAAUAGGAAAUGAUUUUAGUUUGACGGUACCAUACCAGAAAGGGACGGCUAAAUACGUGCCAGCAGCCGCGGUAAUACGUAUGUCCCGAGCGUUAUCCGGAUUUAUUGGGCGUAAAGCGAGCGCAGACGGUUUAUUAAGUCUGAUGUGAAAGCCCGGAGCUCAACUCCGGAAUGGCAUUGGAAACUGGUUAACUUGAGUGCAGUAGAGGUAAGUGGAACUCCAUGUGUAGCGGUGGAAUGCGUAGAUAUAUGGAAGAACACCAGUGGCGAAG